GAACCAACUGGGAUUGCCUUAGUAACGGCGAGUGAAGCGGCAAAAGCUCAAAUUUGAAAUCUGGUACCUUUGGUGCCCGAGUUGUAAUUUGGAGAGUACCACUUUGGGACUGUACUUUGCCUAUGUUCCUUGGAACAGGACGUCAUGGAGGGUGAGAAUCCCGUGUGGCGAGGGUGUCAGUUCUUUGUAAAGGGUGCUCGAAGAGUCGAGUUGUUUGGGAAUGCAGCUCUAAGUGGGUGGUAAAUUCCAUCUAAAGCUAAAUACAGGCGAGAGACCGAUAGCGAACAAGUACAGUGAUGGAAAGAUGAAAAGAACUUUGAAAAGAGAGUGAAAAAGUACGUGAAAUUGUUGAAAGGGAAGGGCAUUUGAUCAGACAUGGUGUUUUGCGCCCCUUGCCUCUCGUGGGCUUGGGACUCUCGCAGCUCACUGGGCCAGCAUCGGUUUUGGCGGCCGGAAAAAACCUAGGGAAUGUGGCUCUGCGCCUCGGUGUAGAGUGUUAUAG
Molecule: ribosomal RNA, 502 nt
Filed under: Nakaseomyces glabratus
Lineage: Eukaryota; Fungi; Ascomycota; Saccharomycetes; Saccharomycetales; Saccharomycetaceae
Description: LSU rRNA
Rfam family: Eukaryotic large subunit ribosomal RNA
Source: RNAcentral